RNAcentral lists this ribosomal RNA (403 nucleotides) under uncultured bacterium. Its description in RNAcentral is "bacterial SSU rRNA". It matches the Rfam family "Bacterial small subunit ribosomal RNA", at positions 355 to 774 of the family's 1533-position model. The record is from RNAcentral.
UGGGGAAUCUUGCGCAAUGGACGAAAGUCUGACGCAGCAACGCCGCGUGUGUGACGAAGGCCUUCGGGUCGUAAAGCACUGUCAGGAGGGAAGAACGCAGACGGUACCUCCAGAGGAAGCGCCGGCUAACUCCGUGCCAGCAGCCGCGGUAAGACGGAGGGCGCAAACGUUGCUCGGAAUCAUUGGGCGUAAAGCGUACGUAGGCUGUCUAUUAAGUCUGAUGUGAAAGCCCAGGGCUCAACCCUGGAAGGCCAUUGGAAACUGAUAGACUUGAGAGUGAGAGGGGUUAGUGGAAUUCCUGGUGUAGGGGUGAAAUCCGUAGAGAUCAGGAGGAACACCGGUGGCGAAGGCGACUGACUGGAUCACAUCUGACGCUGAGGUACGAAAGCAUGGGGAGCAAACA